AUUUAAAUAGCUUAAAUUCUUAAAGUUUAAUAAUGAAAAUAUUAAGAUGAUUUUAAAAUCUUUAAAUA
Molecule: transfer RNA, 68 nt
Filed under: Fopius arisanus
Lineage: Eukaryota; Metazoa; Arthropoda; Insecta; Hymenoptera; Braconidae
Also listed under: 1 other name
Description: tRNA-Phe
Source: RNAcentral